AAAUGCCCUGCUUCCAGGAAAAGCCUCUAAGCAUCAGGUAACAUCAAAUCGUACCCCAAACCGACACAGGUGGUCAGGUAGAGAAUACCAAGGCGCUUGAGAGAACUCGGGUGAAGGAACUAGGCAAAAUGGUGCCGUAACUUCGGGAGAAGGCACGCUGAUAUGUAGGUGAAGUCCCUCGCGGAUGGAGCUGAAAUCAGUCGAAGAUACCAGCUGGCUGCAACUGUUUAUUAAAAACACAGCACUGUGCAAACACGAAAGUGGACGUAUACGGUGUGACGCCUGCCCGGUGCCGGAAGGUUAAUUGAUGGGGUCAGCGCAAGCGAAGCUCUUGAUCGAAGCCCCGGUAAACGGCGGCCGUAACUAUAACGGUCCUAAGGUAGCGAAAUUCCUUGUCGGGUAAGUUCCGACCUGCACGAAUGGCGUAAUGAUGGCCAGGCUGUCUCCACCCGAGACUCAGUGAAAUUGAACUCGCUGUGAAGAUGCAGUGUACCCGCGGCAAGACGGAAAGACCCCGUGAACCUUUACUAUAGCUUGACACUGAACAUUGAGCCUUGAUGUGUAGGAUAGGUGGGAGGCUUUGAAGUGUGGACGCCAGUCUGCAUGGAGCCGACCUUGAAAUACCACCCUUUAAUGUUUGAUGUUCUAACGUGGACCCGUGAUCCGGGUUGCGGACAGUGUCUGGUGGGUAGUUUGACUGGGGCGGUCUCCUCCUAAAGAGUAACGGAGGAGCACGAAGGUUGGCUAAUCCUGGUCGGACAUCAGGAGGUUAGUGCAAUGGCAUAAGCCAGCUUGACUGCGAGCGUGACGGCGCGAGCAGGUGCGAAAGCAGGUCAUAGUGAUCCGGUGGUUCUGAAUGGAAGGGCCAUCGCUCAACGGAUAAAAGGUACUCCGGGGAUAACAGGCUGAUACCGCCCAAGAGUUCAUAUCGACGGCGGUGUUUGGCACCUCGAUGUCGGCUCAUCACAUCCUGGGGCUGAAGUAGGUCCCAAGGGUAUGGCUGUUCGCCAUUUAAAGUGGUACGCGAGCUGGGUUUAGAACGUCGUGAGACAGUUCGGUCCCUAUCUGCCGUGGGCGCUGGAGAACUGAGGGGGGCUGCUCCUAGUACGAGAGGACCGGAGUGGACGCAUCACUGGUGUUCGGGUUGUCAUGCCAAUGGCACUGCCCGGUAGCUAAAUGCGGAAGAGAUAAGUGCUGAAAGCAUCUAAGCACGAAACUUGCCCCGAGAUGAGUUCUCCCUGACCCUUUAAGGGUCCUGAAGGAACGUUGAAGACGACGACGUUGAUAGGCCGGGUGUGUAAGCGCAGCGAUGCGUUGAGCUAACCGGUACUAAUGAACCGUGAGGCUUAACCUUACAACGCCGAAGGUGUUU
RNAcentral lists this ribosomal RNA (1372 nucleotides) under Escherichia coli. Its description in RNAcentral is "partial 23S ribosomal RNA". It matches the Rfam family "Bacterial large subunit ribosomal RNA", at positions 1595 to 2925 of the family's 2925-position model. The record is from RNAcentral. Lineage: Bacteria; Pseudomonadati; Pseudomonadota; Gammaproteobacteria; Enterobacterales; Enterobacteriaceae.